Molecule: long non-coding RNA, 1076 nt
Organism: Hevea brasiliensis (rubber tree)
Lineage: Eukaryota; Viridiplantae; Streptophyta; Magnoliopsida; Malpighiales; Euphorbiaceae
Exons: 2
Source: RefSeq, a predicted model, not a curated record
CUUAUGAAUAAUUUGAUUGAUAAAUUAACAUAAUCCACCAAGUUUAAAUUGUUAACAGAGUGAUUUAUUGAAAAAUGUGUGUUUUAAUUAUAUCUCUAUGCUUUUUGGAGUUCUAAUAAGAGAUUGACAACAAUAAACAUGAGGAGAGACUAAAAAAAAAACCAAGAUUUACGAGUACUCGAAAAAUUUGGGAGGCCAGGCCUCCUUGCUUAUCACUUGUGUCCAUCCCCGAUUGGUGUUAGCUUGAACAAGCUAUACCGCUUGAUGUAGUGGAGUUAUUUAGCUUGAGCUUCUCAUGGGUCUAGUGGGUUUGCUAUGCUCAAAAGCAGGGAUUAUUUGCUUGGGUCGUUUGUAUCUCUGAAGUCUGCUUUUACACUACGAUCGGAAAGGUUUAAGGCUAUGAAUUUGCCAGAAAGCUCUGCUGGCGGUACCUUUUUGAAGACAUAGAGUUAUGCUUUCUUCUUGUGAUGUGGAGACUAAAGGUCCAAAGUCAAUAGCCUAUAAUUCUGCAACCAAAUAUAGAAGAAGAGAAUCCAUGAAUCCAUUUGCCUAUUGCGAAGAAUACCUCCACCACUAGCAGCUCUUGGAUUAGGAAUACAGGUACCGUCGACGUUGAUCUUUAUCCAACCUCGAGGAGGAGCAUCUACCCAACAAAAGGAGCAAGACUCCGAGAGUUUACAAGAAGGCCUCUUUGUAAGAGAAGCGAAUUCAAUAGCCAACUCAUAAAUGUGUUCCAACACCAAUGCGACAGGCAUCUGGUUGAUUGGUUCCACACUUUCACAUCUCCAUUUCCAGACUUGCUCGAUAUUUGAUCAGGUUCUAGAUCAAGCAUCAAGCAUUAUAACCCUCUUUCCAAGUACAAAUUCCUUUAGCAGAACAACUCCAAAUAAUUUGAUCAUUGAUUGUCGCAAAAAUAAGAGAGGCACUGCACAAAUAAGCCGUUUCAGAGGAAGCUGAAAUCCUCUUUUUAAUUACCUGAAUUAAUUAAAAUAGAAAUAAGGUCAUAUUGACUCGAAUUAAUUUUUAUGCAAGGCAGAGCUUAUAAUGGUUAGUGUAAUAUAGACGAGAUUUUUCCA